Molecule: ribosomal RNA, 443 nt
Filed under: uncultured bacterium
Lineage: Bacteria
Description: partial 16S ribosomal RNA
Rfam family: Bacterial small subunit ribosomal RNA
Source: RNAcentral
CCUACGGGUGGCAGCAGUGGGGAAUAUUGGGCAAUGGGCGCAAGCCUGACCCAGCAACGCCGCGUGCAGGAAGAAGGCUUUCGGGUUUUUAACUUCUUUUCUGAGGGACGAAGAAGGUCACGGUACCUCAGGAAUAAGCCACGGCUAACUACGUGGCAGCAGCCGCGGUAAUACGGAGGUGGCAAGCAUUAUCCGGAUUUAUUGGGUGUAAAGGGUGUGUAGGCGGGAAAGCAAGUCAGAUGUGAAAACUCAGGGCUCAACCCUGAGCCUGCAUUUGAAACUGUUUUGCUUGAGUGCUGGAGAGGCAAUCGGAAUUCCGGGGGUAGCGGUGAAAUGCGUAGAUAUACGGAGGAACACCAGUGGCGAAGGCGGAUUGCUGGACAGUAACUGACGCUGAGGCGCGAAAGCGUGGGGAGCAAACAGGAUUAGAUACCCCUGUAGUC